Molecule: long non-coding RNA, 4935 nt
Organism: Pyrgilauda ruficollis (rufous-necked snowfinch)
Lineage: Eukaryota; Metazoa; Chordata; Aves; Passeriformes; Passeridae
Exons: 3
Source: RefSeq, a predicted model, not a curated record
ACUAUUCCUUCUAUCAUCACGGCCCUUAAGAAUAAGGAGCAGGAUUCCAGGUAAAACUUGGUUUGGAGUGAGCAGGUCAGUGGAUGGAAUAGAUAUGGAAUGGAAUAGAUAAAACUGAACACGGUCACUUCCUGUGCAGUGUGGUGCUGCCAGGGCAGCCACAACUCUGGCUGGCCCCCUCUGGCUGUUGCCUCUGAUUCAUUUCUAGAAUGUAAAUAAUUCACCUGCACAUACAGAAUCUCUGCAACUAAGCAAAACAAGAGAAACCAGCCCAGAAGGAAACAGGUGCUUCCACCAUUACUGAUUUACAAUCUGUGCUGCAGGGAACAGAAGCCAACUCUCCUUUCACCUAAAGAACUAAUUUGAAAAACCAAUCUUUCAAGUUUAUCAGGCACUGUCUGUAGAAGCCUCUCAUCCUUUGCAGACAUUGUAGAGGUAAACAGAAACUUGGGAGUAAAUUUUAUAAAAUUUGGACAGGUAAACCUUGUGCCACAUCCUGAGGCUGGCUCUAAUUCUUGUUCCUGCUGAACUUCCUGCAAAAUCAAGGAUCUUCUUUUCAGAGGUUAUAAAAAUUCAGGGUUAGUAUUUAAAUACCCCUUCCUCAAAAACAAAACAAAGCAAACAAAAAAAAACCCAACCCAGACAACUUCAUAAAAAACCAGAAAACUUUGUAUAGCAGGGCUGCCAGGAACAGAAAGGAGCCUCUACAAACCUUUCAUACCGGUACUCUUCAGCAGGGCCAGAUUUGCUAAGCAGCAGCAGCAGUUCUUGAGAAGCAAAUUAUUCCUACUUGGAUGGAAAAGAACUGGCAGUGAAAGUUAAAACCAGGUGCCUAUCUUGAGCAACAUGAAAGCUAAAUGAGGGAGAGAAGCAUUUGACUUUUAAAUGGAAAUGGAAGAAUGAGGCUAUGCAGGAAGCAGGCGAUAGCCUGGAACUGGAUGGAAAAUUGGUCUCACGAGCACAAGAAAAUUCUUUUCCCUGUAAUUUUUGAGGUAUGAAAUAACUGCCUUAAAAGCUUUCCUAGAGAAACUGCAACGAGAAGAGGAAUUUAGAACAUAUAAUUUGGUACUAUCCCAAAAUGCAGAAACAUUGGCAGAAAAUGGCAAAUGUUACUAAAUUUACUAUUGGAAUUAAAAAUAAUAAAUCUUUCCUACAGGAAAUAAUCUUAAGAAUAGAUAAUGUAGAAAUAGCAACCAUUAAAACACACACACACACACACACACCCAAAAAAAGUGUAAAAAUGUUUUUCCUAGCAGAGAAAUCUGCUUCAGCUAAGAACAUGGAAACUGUGCCUACUUCGUGUUUCUGUUCUGAGCAGUGAAUGAACAGUGGGCAGCUUUUUGUAAGAACGGAGUCCUGGGUUCCAUCUUAGCCAAACAAACUGAGGAUCUGAUCCAUAAAGCUGGGGUCACCUUCUGCAAAUCCAACAGUAGCUCCAGGCCUUGCAAAAGAAACUGGAGCCUGGUGACACGGACAGCAGAAAUUUGAACGGACUGAUGGAUGCGCUGACUUGCAGCUCUCGUGGUUUCCAAAGUGCCUUUACUUCAAUGCUGACAACAGUUGGCUGCACAAUUCUGCUCCUUUCCAAAGGGAGCUCUGAUGGCUUUCUGUGGCCAGAGGGGAAACUGAACUAGAAAGGAGAAUGAUCUGCAGUAGGAGGAACUCACUUGGGUGGAAACCAGCAAGACUGCAGAUAGCCAAGCUGACCAGGGGCUGGCAGGACGAGCAGUAGGUAUCAAGGCUGGCUUUACAACUGGAUCUGCUUUGGCUGGGACCAGGGAUGAACAGACAAUAGAAGCACAGAAAUGCCACAGUUGGUAGAGACUUCUGGAGAUCUCCAGUCCAACCUCAGACUCACCGUGGGCUGCAGCCCACACUGGGACUGGCCAGCCAGACUUUUGUCCAGGAAAAGCCUCCAUCCUCCCCCAGCACAAAGGCCUGAGGCUGAGUGGAACAGAAGAUGGCUGUCACCAACCAGAUGUGCUGGUCCCCAAGUCCUUGAGAGCCUGGCUGUGGGGGUUCUGUGGUUGUUCUUGGCAUCAUGGCCCCGCACAGAGACCUCACGUCACCACUGAGCGUUGUACCACAGCUGCAGGAAUGCAUGGUCAGACAGUGCCCAGCCAAAAGAUCCUGAAAGGAGUUAUGGCUAAAGGGCUGCAUGAAGGAUUCUGCAGCUGUUGAGGUGUUGGGGCACGGACCACCCUGGCUGUUCCCCCGCCUUUGCCCACCACUGAGCAGAGCUGUGCACAGCCAGAACACAACUCUCACCUUAAAACAGCCCAUUUCAGAAAAUGUGCGCCCACACAGCCAUGGGUGAAUGAGGUGACUGCCACAGAUCAGGCACCUUUUCACAGGAAGAAGUGCUAGCUAAAUGGCAGAGCACUGAUAGGAAUGAUGAUGAUGUGCUGCAAAUCUGGUGGGACACCCAUGGCAUGUCACCAAGAGGAGUAAUAGUGCCUUUUCUGUAUCCAUCAUCCACAUCCAGUGUGUGCCUUGUCCCUGCUGUGCAGAGGGACUGUAACACUGACACAUGUCAGUGCUCUGCCCCCCAAAAUGCUUAAUCCUGGAAUAAUUAUCUAAAUAAAAUAUCUCCCAGAAAAAAAGUUGUCUUUCUGUUCCCAGGGAUUGGCUGGGGACAGGCUGUUUUCCUCAGGGAACUCUAUUUGUGGUGCUGGAGACCCAAUCCCUGGGCAGAAGGACGUGAAUUCAAAUCCAUAGUGGGUUUUCUUUCCCCAAAGAAAAUACUUCACAUAGGAAAAUAUUGGUUUGACAAAAUGGAAAUAUUUUGGGAGAACUUACCCGUGCAUUUACAAUCAUAUAUCUAAAACAUGAUAAAAAUAUUUUGUUUCCAAAGAAAUCAAACCAAAAAAAUGUAGUUAAAAGGCAAAGGGCUUAUAUUUUAUAUUUAACACACUAUAUUCAGAAUUGCAAACAUUAAAAUGAACUGCUGUGACUAUGUAAUUUUGAAGUUUCCAGAACAGAUUUUGGAAAUACAAUUUCUUGGAAAUUUCCAACUGUGCAUUCCAAUUUAGGCCUGAAGGAUUGUUUUAACAUUCAAUUUCCCACAUAGCAGGACCUGCCAACUUAAACUAGUUCUUAAAAUAACAAAGGAGGUCAAACAAAUCCAACUAAUAUCCGAAAUUAAAAUGAACUUAACUGACAGCCUCAUCCUGCAUGUAGCUCUGAUGUUAUCAAUCUUCUUGCCCCCUUCUGAAGUUUAAUCCAUAUUCCAGCCAGGGCUAGGAAUGGGAAUCACAGCAGGAAGGUUUCUGAGGACAUGAUGGUUGGAACCAGUACCUGAAGUGCCAUCGGUGGAGGGUGUCACACACUGGGGACAGACCAGGAGCACAGAGAGCAGCACCUUCAGCCUGGGUUGGGGCUGGCCAAGCUGCUGGAAUGCUCCACACAGCCCAUUCCCGUGGCCAAGCUGAUCGCUGGGAAGCGUCGCUCUGUGAAGUGCCAGAGCAGGACAAGUAAAGGUUAUUUACCCCAGCUUGUAGGUGAGGCACUGACACUGCUGUGCACUGUUUCCCUUAGUAUUCCCUUAUGUUGCAAUGCUGUGCUUUGCUGAUUUGGAAGUAUUCUUUUCUACCGUGGUUAAGUCAGGGGAACAGUGGUGGCUGGAACUGGUGUCCCAAGCGUCUGCAUGUUUGCAGCGGUGCAGGAAUGCAUUGUUAGUGCUGUUUUCAAAAUGAACCAUAGCCCAGAUGUGCUUGGCAGCUUUCCCAGUGGAAGGUAAAGAGUAGUGCAGAUGACAAGAUGUAUUGAUGUGAAAGCAUUUCUGGCCCUUUAACCCAAGAGCCACAGCAGACAAACAGGAGCGAGUGUGGUGCAGAGGCAGGAAUUCUUACACCUGCUGUGGCAGAAGCAGAGCAAUGAGCAGUCACCACUCCUAAAGCCAAGUGGUACCCAAGCGUUUGUGCCCAUCCUAGUGGCACUAGUGGACUAAUGUCCCAUCCCCUAGGGAUGUUUUUCUGUCCCCACUAGUUGGGACAGCCUGACAUAGGGCCAGUGAGUUGCAAAGCAGAGCAGAUUGUCAUGGCCUAGGAGAUUUGUCAUCUUGUUGCUACAGAAGGGCACAUUUUGGGGACAUGGAGUCACCCAGGGUGAUAGCCAAGCCUGUGUCUUUACUGUCACAGCUAACCAUGGCACAUGAGGUACCUCACAGGUACCAGGCUAAGAGUGGCAUGUGAUGCCCACAGGAAAAAAUAUUCUGGGGUGCCUCCAUAUUUCAUGUCCCCAUAAACUGGUGCUGUUUGAUGGAGGGGCCUCCUGGUGUUCUUUGACUCAAAGAACUCAAAUUCCACAUAGUAAUCAAGACCAAUCCCUGCCUUAUGUAGUUCCCUAGCCAAAGCAAAUUCCAUAUUCCUAGCAGCCUUGCACUUGGCCUUGGUAGUUAAUGCAGCCACAACCUUGAAGCCUAUAACUCAAAGUCACAGCAAAAUGAAGAACCUCAAGCAGGUUGGAGGCAACUGGGGGCAGCCUGCUGAGCAACCGUGACAGCAGCGCCUCUCUCUGCAGUGCUUUACUCUUGUGUUUGGUUUCUGUUACAUUCAGCCCACUUCAAGAUCUCCUUCACAGGGUGAGAAACCUGGUGGCAAGCUGCAAAAAUUCUAAUUGCUCAGUGUGGCGAUAGCUGGGAGGGUUUUAUAACAGCUGGCUCAAGAAUCAGCUGGUUUAGUACAUGGUUUUGCCAAAGCAGAGUAAAUUGCUUCCAGCACAUUCCUGUUUUGGUACCUGUAAGACACCUUGAGGUGACCUUAUGCUGCCUGCUCUGAGUUCAGCACAGGAGACUGGACCUGCAGGACCCCUUCCAGCCUUGGGACUCCAGGGUUCUGGGCCAAGGAUGGCAAGGAGCUUCUGGAGGCUCCCCUGGCCAGAAUGUGGAAGCUUCAGCAGCAGAAAAAAAAAAAAAAGAGAACCAAUUAAUGAGAU